Long non-coding RNA from Boleophthalmus pectinirostris (great blue-spotted mudskipper), 916 nucleotides. RefSeq lists it as uncharacterized. Lineage: Eukaryota; Metazoa; Chordata; Actinopteri; Gobiiformes; Gobiidae. The record is from RefSeq and is a predicted model, not a curated record. The transcript has 3 exons.
UUCAGAUGCAUCAAUCAUUUGGCAAAUUCAACAGCCCUUGGUAUCUUCUCCUUUUGGUUCUGCAUGACGACUCUGUACCUGCCAUUUCCCUCUCGCAAGCUGUCACCAAUUACUACUGCAGAUAAGAUGAGAUCAUUGUACCAAAGCAAGAAACUGCCUCUCAUUGCCUUGUGUAGGCACUCAUCCCAAUGCAGUCACUAUGGGUUGUACACGCAGCCAAAAUUGAGAAAGGAGGGAGCACGGAAGAAAAGAUCACAAAAUUAUAAUGUGGUGUGUAAAAUAAGACAUGUCCCAUUGGAGUGCACAGAUAAAAACAGAUGGAAUAGAAUGGGCAGCAAUUCAAAUAAAUAUAACAACAUACAAAGCAGGCCUUCCGUAUAUUGUCGUAUGGAUUCAUGUCUUAGCACAAGGGACCAACCCCAGAGUGUCACCACAUUGAAUCACGCCCCCACUAGAGCCAUGUCUUGUUACAGAUGAGGAACGAGAACAAGGGGAGUGCUUUGGUCGGAGGCGGACGGGUGAAUCCGGAGACACCCACAGACACCAAGAGGCACCCUGAGGUGGCGGUGAGCGGACAGCAGAGCCCAGGGAGCAAGAGGAAAUGGAGAGGGGUAGAGGGCAGUGUCUCCUGAGGCCUAUGUGCUUGGCUGCCAGCGUGUGUAAAUCAGCAGCCAGCUCACAGCCGCAAUGAGAUCUCAUGGAGCACUUGAUUGCAGACUUAAAGGUUUUACUACAACUUUUGAUGGAAGGUCUUCAUGGAGAUAUAGUUGCCAGAAAUGUUCCACGCUGGUAUUAAACUCAUCUAGAGAAACGACCCGGUUCACGGCGAAACGGAGCAGUGGAUGAGCAGGAGAACAGGAGAAGCGCGUUUCCCUUCUGUUGUGAGACCAGAGACAUCUGGAAGGCACCACGGGCC